UACGUAGGGUGCAAGCGUUGUCCGGAAUUAUUGGGCGUAAAGAGCUCGUAGGCGGUCUGUCGCGUCUGCUGUGAAAACUCGGGGCUUAACCCCGGGCCUGCAGUGGGUACGGGCAGACUAGAGUGCGGUAGGGGAGACUGGAAUUCCUGGUGUAGCGGUGAAAUGCGCAGAUAUCAGGAGGAACACCGGUGGCGAAGGCGGGUCUCUGGGCAAUUCCUGACGCUGAGGCGCGAAAGCGUGGGGAGCAAACAGG
This 253-nucleotide ribosomal RNA is filed under the name uncultured bacterium. Its description in RNAcentral is "partial 16S ribosomal RNA". It matches the Rfam family "Bacterial small subunit ribosomal RNA", at positions 524 to 776 of the family's 1533-position model. The record is from RNAcentral.